Molecule: ribosomal RNA, 189 nt
Filed under: uncultured Staphylococcus sp.
Lineage: Bacteria; Bacillati; Bacillota; Bacilli; Caryophanales; Staphylococcaceae
Description: partial 16S ribosomal RNA
Rfam family: Bacterial small subunit ribosomal RNA
Source: RNAcentral
GGGAAACCGGAGCUAAUACCGGAUAAUAUAUUGAACCGCAUGGUUCAAUAGUGAAAGACGGUUUUGCUGUCACUUAUAGAUGGAUCCGCGCCGCAUUAGCUAGUUGGUAAGGUAACGGCUUACCAAGGCAACGAUGCAUAGCCGACCUGAGAGGGUGAUCGGCCACACUGGAACUGAGACACGGUCCAG